CGGGGUAUGGCGCAGUUUGGUAGCGCGCUUGACUGGGGGUCAAGAGGCCGCAGGUUCAAGUCCUGUUACUCCGA
Molecule: transfer RNA, 74 nt
Filed under: Eubacteriales bacterium
Lineage: Bacteria; Bacillati; Bacillota; Clostridia; Eubacteriales
Description: tRNA-Pro
Rfam family: tRNA
About the family: Transfer RNA (tRNA) molecules are approximately 80 nucleotides in length. Their secondary structure includes four short double-helical elements and three loops (D, anti-codon, and T loops). Further hydrogen bonds mediate the characteristic L-shaped molecular structure. tRNAs have two regions of fundamental functional importance: the anti-codon, which is responsible for specific mRNA codon recognition, and the 3' end, to which the tRNAs corresponding amino acid is attached (by aminoacyl-tRNA synthetases). tRNAs cope with the degeneracy of the genetic code in two manners: having more than one tRNA (with a specific anti-codon) for a particular amino acid; and 'wobble' base-pairing, i.e. permitting non-standard base-pairing at the 3rd anti-codon position.
Source: RNAcentral